UACACUCCUACGGGAGGCAGCAGUGGGGAAUAUUGCACAAUGGGCGCAAGCCUGAUGCAGCCAUGCCGCGUGUAUGAAGAAGGCCUUCGGGUUGUAAAGUACUUUCAGCGGGGAGGAAGGCGAUAAGGUUAAUAACCUUGUUGAUUGACGUUACCCGCAGAAGAAGCACCGGCUAACUCCGUGCCAGCAGCCGCGGUAAUACGGAGGGUGCAAGCGUUAAUCGGAAUUACUGGGCGUAAAGCGCACGCAGGCGGUCUGUCAAGUCGGAUGUGAAAUCCCCGGGCUCAACCUGGGAACUGCAUUCGAAACUGGCAGGCUAGAGUCUUGUAGAGGGGGGUAGAAUUCCAGGUGUAGCGGUGAAAUGCGUAGAGAUCUGGAGGAAUACCGGUGGCGAAGGCGGCCCCCUGGACAAAGACUGACGCUCAGGUGCGAAAGCGUGGGGAGCAAACAGGAUUAGAAACCCGAGUAGUCCC
Molecule: ribosomal RNA, 473 nt
Filed under: uncultured organism
Description: partial 16S ribosomal RNA
Rfam family: Bacterial small subunit ribosomal RNA
Source: RNAcentral